CAGUGACCCCGCGGGGGCACUCGCAGCCAUUGCAGGGGCUCUAGGGGUGAUCGUGGUGUCUCUGGCACCUGGGGGACCCUCCAGGGCCUUCGGAAUCCCUGAUGCAGGCAGCAGAAACGGGGGGCUGGGGGCGUUUGAUACCAAAGAGACCCCCGGAGGGAUAGCCUGCACCGAGGAUCAUGGGAGAAGCAGAAGCUGUCUUGAGCAACCAGCAGGACGCGGGGACGGCCUUGCUGAGCAGGAUCCAGCCCAGACAGCCCCAGCUCUGCCACCAGCCGCAGGCUUCACCCCUAAAUGUCCCUCCCUCUUUGGUCACCUGCACCUGCCCUUGGUCCAGCCCACACUGGGCCCCACUCCUGGGCUGCCUGGGUGUGGGAGAGGGGUUCUCCCCAUAAGGGAAGUCAGCUCCCUCCCGUCCCCCACAGAGGGGGCUUCUCCCACAGGCUGAGGACCACCGGCUGUGGAGGCCUCUUCCCCAGGCCUCGCCAGCUGCCCAGCCUCCAGGACUGACUCCUUUGCACAUGCCCAGUUUGGAGCCCCUUCCCUCGGGCCUCCCCUGCUGGGGGUGAUGGGAGUCGGAGCACAGCUGUGUGUGUGGUCCUGAGAACUGAACCCGGAGCCGUGCAGGCUUGGAAAACACUCUACCCCUGAGCUAUGGCCCC
This 662-nucleotide long non-coding RNA is filed under the name Marmota monax (woodchuck). The record is from RNAcentral. Lineage: Eukaryota; Metazoa; Chordata; Mammalia; Rodentia; Sciuridae.